Non-coding RNA from Pelobates cultripes (western spadefoot toad), 1904 nucleotides. Lineage: Eukaryota; Metazoa; Chordata; Amphibia; Anura; Pelobatidae. The record is from the annotation of a GenBank genome assembly.
UCACAGUGGGAGGCAUAGAUAUCUCACACGUGUGAUUGUUAAUUCUGAUUGGAAGUUAUCCAAUCAGAAUUAAGCAAAGGGUAUUUAUACUUACCUUUCCUGUCUCUCAGUGCCCUGUUGUGGUCUUGUGAUACCUGUAGUGUAGUUUUCUCAUCUUGCUCUCUGGUUACCGAUUAUUUGGCUCGUUAUUCCGAUUAUAUUGUCUUCUCCGCUCCUUUGACCUCGGCUUGUUUCUCGUUCUCCUGUUUUCUGGCUCCCUUUACUUGGCUUGUCUCCUGACCAUUCUUAGUGUGCUUAGCCCGGCCACUCUAAGGACCGGUAUAGCAUCCUUCCUCUCUGUGUCCUGUUAGCGUGUUAGGUUCCCGAAUCGUGACAUUACAACAGGGCCACCAUGGAACCUGCUGACAUUCCACAGAUGUUAGUAAAUCAGGAGGCUAGAAUGGUUCAGACCAUCGUAUGGAUCAGUUUGCCCAGGCUUUACAAACCAUAAUGGCUCGUACUGCCCACCUGCAACCUGUCGUUCAAGAAGCUGUUACUGCUGUGCCAGAACCCAUUCCCGAUCCAGUACCCACUCCUGCUCACGUGGUUCACAUGACGCCACCUCAGCGCUAUAGCGGUGAUCCAGCAUUUUGCCAUGGUUUCCUCAACCAAAUUGAUCUUCAUUUGGUGAUGAAUCCUCGUUUCUACCCCACUGACAGAACCAAAAUUGCUUUUCUGAUCAACCACUUGUCCGGGAAAGCUCUAGCAUGGGCUAAUCCCAUGUGGGAGAAUACGUCCCCAAUGUCCUUUGCAGACUUUUUGCUGUACAGCUUUUAAAUGUACAUUUGAUCAACCCGGCAGGGUUGCUUCUGCUGGCAAAGCUCUGCUUAGGGUCCGACAGGGUAAUAGAUCUGUAGCGGACUAUACCAUUGAAUUCCACACUCUGGCAGCUGAAGUGGUUUGGAAUAACGACGCCCUCGUAACAGCCUUUCAGGAGGGUUUGGCCGCCACAUAUUAGAUGAAAUAGCAUCCAGGGAAUUGCCUGUUCUUCUGGAUGAUGUAAUAGAUUAUAUAAUUCUUAUUGACAACCGUAUUAGAGAGAGGUGUAUUCAAAGAAGGAUGGACACACAGGGGUUACCUGCUUUACCCAGUACUGCAUUACUAGCAUUACCUCCUCCUAAUCAACCACCUCCCGAACCCAUGCAAUUAGGUGCUGUAGGCUUAACUGAAGCUGAAAGAACGUACCGCAGAAGGGCGGGCUUGUGCCUUUAUUGUGGAAAGAGGGAGCAUCUCCGAAGAAACUGUCCUAGUUUGCAGGGAAACUUCAGCACCUAAGGCCUAGAGAGGGGUCGGCCUCGGGUGUUAUGUUUUUUUCCCCUCAUGUGUCCACCUCCAGACCAUUUAUUACUGUUAGUCUUUUGGUCAAUCAAACCACUAUAACAACUAAAGCCUUGAUCGAUUCAGGUGCUGCAGACAACUUUAUGGAUGAGAACUUUACAAAAACCGCAGCCUUGACACUGAUCCAAAAGGCCACACCCUUGGCCGUUGAGGCCAUGGAUGGGAGACCACUUGAUAAAACUCUGGUGACCCAUGAAACCCAAGAAAUGGUUAUGGCCAUGGGUGUCUUACACAAGGAAAGGUUAACCUUCCAAAUAAUCGACUCCCCUACAGCUUCCAUCGUUCUGGGCUUUCCCUGGUUAGUUAUGCAUAACCCGGUACUUGAUUGGGGUUGUUUAGAUAUACUCUCCUGGGGGGAAUCCUGUCAACAAGACUGUAUGGCCCGUUUACGUCCCGUUUGCUUACUUAAUGUGCCUACAGCUAAACCACUUUCUGUUUCUGUCCCUCCUGUGUAUGCAGACCUCGUAUUGGUCUUUGAAAAAAGGGAGGCUGAUAAGCUACCCCCACACCGGGAUUAUGAUUGUGCC